AAAUUGAAGAGUUUGAUCAUGGCUCAGAUUGAACGCUGGCGGCAGGCCUAACACAUGCAAGUCGAACGGUAACAGGAAGCAGCUUGCUGCUUUGCUGACGAGUGGCGGACGGGUGAGUAAUGUCUGGGAAACUGCCUGGUGGAGGGGGAUAACUACUGGAAACGGUAGCUAAUACCGCAUAACGUCGCAAGACCAAAGAGGGGGACCUUCGGGCCUCUUGCCAUCGGAUGUGCCCAGAUGGGAUUAGCUAGUAGGUGGGGUAACGGCUCACCUAGGCGACGAUCCCUAGCUGGUCUGAGAGGAUGACCAGCCACACUGGAACUGAGACACGGUCCAGACUCCUACGGGAGGCAGCAGUGGGGAAUAUUGCACAAUG
RNAcentral lists this ribosomal RNA (376 nucleotides) under Escherichia coli. RNAcentral describes it as "bacterial SSU rRNA". It matches the Rfam family "Bacterial small subunit ribosomal RNA", at positions 1 to 373 of the family's 1533-position model. Lineage: Bacteria; Pseudomonadati; Pseudomonadota; Gammaproteobacteria; Enterobacterales; Enterobacteriaceae. The record is from RNAcentral.